RNAcentral lists this ribosomal RNA (408 nucleotides) under uncultured bacterium. RNAcentral describes it as "bacterial SSU rRNA". It matches the Rfam family "Bacterial small subunit ribosomal RNA", at positions 508 to 914 of the family's 1533-position model. The record is from RNAcentral.
UCAGCAGGCCGCGGUAAUACGGAGGGGGUUAGCGUUGUUCGGAAUUACUGGGCGUAAAGCGUACGUAGGCGGAUUAGUAAGUUGGGGGUGAAAUCCCAGGGCUCAACCCUGGAACUGCCUCCAAAACUACUAGUCUUGAGAUCGUGAGAGGUGAGUGGAAUUCCGAGUGUAGAGGUGAAAUUCGUAGAUAUUCGGAGGAACAUCAGUGGCGAAGGCGGCUCACUGGCACGAUACUGACGCUGAGGUACGAAAGUGUGGGGAGCAAACAGGAUUAGAUACCCUGGUAGUCCACACCGUAAACGAUGAAUGCCAGACGUCAGGGGGCUUGCCCUUUGGUGUCACACCUAACGGAUUAAGCAUUCCGCCUGGGGAGUACGGUCGCAAGAUUAAAACUCAAAGGAGUUUGAC